Molecule: ribosomal RNA, 449 nt
Filed under: uncultured bacterium
Lineage: Bacteria
Description: partial 16S ribosomal RNA
Rfam family: Bacterial small subunit ribosomal RNA
Source: RNAcentral
AUUGAACGCUGGCGGCAUGCCUAAUACAUGCAAGUCGAACGAUCACUUCGGUGGUAGUGGCGCACGGGUGCGUAACGCGUGGGAAUCUGCCCUUGGGUUCGGAAUAACGUCGGGAAACUGACGCUAAUACCGGAUGAUGACGUAAGUCCAAAGAUUUAUCGCCCAGGGAUGAGCCCGCGUAGGAUUAGCUAGUUGGUGGGGUAAAGGCCUACCAAGGCGACGAUCCUUAGCUGGUCUGAGAGGAUGAUCAGCCACACUGGGACUGAGACACGGCCCAGACUCCUACGGGAGGCAGCAGUAGGGAAUAUUGGACAAUGGGGGCAACCCUGAUCCAGCAAUGCCGCGUGAGUGAUGAAGGCCUUAGGGUUGUAAAGCUCUUUUACCCGGGAUGAUAAUGACAGUACCGGGAGAAUAAGCCCCGGCUAACUCCGUGCCAGCAGCCGCCGUAA